GUGGGGAAUUUUGGACAAUGGGCGAAAGCCUGAUCCAGCAAUGCCGCGUGUGUGAAGAAGGCCUUCGGGUUGUAAAGUUCUUUAGCCGAUGAUUAUAAUGACUGUAGUCGGAAAAUAAGCCCCGGCUAACUUCGUGCCAGCAGCCGCGGUAAUACGAAGGGGGCGAGCGUUAUUCGGAAUCACUGGGCGUAAAGCGUGCGUAGGCGGUUUUGUAAGUUAGGAGUGAAAGCCCAGGGCUCAACCUUGGAAUUGCUCUUAAAACUGCAAGGCUCGAAUCUCGGAGAGGAUAGCGGAAUUUCCAGUGUAGCAGUGAAAUGCGUAGAUAUUGGAAGGAACACCAGUGGCGUAAGCGGCUAUCUGGACGAGUAUUGACGCUGAGGCACGAAAGCGUGGGGAUCAAACAGGAUUAGAAACCCUAGUAGUCC
This 425-nucleotide ribosomal RNA is filed under the name uncultured bacterium. RNAcentral's name for it is "partial 16S ribosomal RNA". It matches the Rfam family "Bacterial small subunit ribosomal RNA", at positions 354 to 796 of the family's 1533-position model. The record is from RNAcentral.